RNAcentral lists this ribosomal RNA (474 nucleotides) under uncultured bacterium. RNAcentral describes it as "partial 16S ribosomal RNA". It matches the Rfam family "Bacterial small subunit ribosomal RNA", at positions 28 to 507 of the family's 1533-position model. The record is from RNAcentral.
GAUGAACGCUAGCGGCAGGCCUAACACAUGCAAGUCGAGGGAGGAGCCUUCGGGCUUCGACCGGCGUACGGGUGCGUAACGCGUAUACAAUCUGCCUUUCAUAUAGGGAUAGCCCGAAGAAAUUUGGAUUAAUACCUAAUGGUAUAUAGAUGUGGCAUCACCUUUAUAUUAAAGCUGAGGCGGUGAAAGAUGAGUAUGCGUUCUAUUAGCUAGUUGGAGAGGUAACGGCUCCCCAAGGCGACGAUAGAUAGGGGUUCUGAGAGGGAUAUCCCCCACACUGGUACUGAGAUACGGACCAGACUCCUACGGGAGGCAGCAGUGAGGAAUAUUGGACAAUGGUCGGAAGACUGAUCCAGCCAUGCCGCGUGCAGGAAGACGGCCUUAUGGGUUGUAAACUGCUUUUGCAGGGGAAGAAUAAGGACUACGCGUAGUUUGAUGACGGUACUCUGCGAAUAAGCAUCGGCUAACUCCGUG